CCUACGGGUGGCAGCAGUGAGGAAUAUUGGUCAAUGGGCGCGAGCCUGAACCAGCCAAGUAGCGUGAAGGAUGACGGCCCUACGGGUGGUAAACUUCGUUUAUAAAGGAAUAAAGUGAGGCACGUGUGCCGUUUUGUAUGGACUUUAUGAAUAAGGAUCGGCUAACUCCGUGCCAGCAGCCGCGGUAAUACGGAGGAUCCGAGCGUUAUGCGGCUUUAGGGGGUUUAAAGGGAGCGUAGAUGGGUUGUUUAGUCAGUUGUGAAAGUUUGCGGCUCCACCGUAAAAUUGCAAUUGAUACUGGCAGUCUUGAGUACAGUUGAGGUAGGCGGAAUUCGUGGUGUAGCGGU
RNAcentral lists this ribosomal RNA (347 nucleotides) under uncultured bacterium. Its description in RNAcentral is "partial 16S ribosomal RNA". It matches the Rfam family "Bacterial small subunit ribosomal RNA", at positions 338 to 682 of the family's 1533-position model. The record is from RNAcentral.